Molecule: ribosomal RNA, 852 nt
Filed under: Arthrobacter sp. M_Sw_HS_07/11_7_1(1)
Lineage: Bacteria; Bacillati; Actinomycetota; Actinomycetes; Micrococcales; Micrococcaceae
Description: bacterial SSU rRNA
Rfam family: Bacterial small subunit ribosomal RNA
Source: RNAcentral
GAUGAACGCUGGCGGUGUGCUUAACACAUGCAAGUCGAACGAUGAAGCCAGCUUGCUGGUGGAUUAGUGGCGAACGGGUGAGUAACACGUGAGUAACCUGCCCUUAACUCUGGGAUAAGCCUGGGAAACUGGGUCUAAUACCGGAUAUGACUCCUCAUCGCAUGGUGGGGGGUGGAAAGCUUUAUUGUGGUUUUGGAUGGACUCGCGGCCUAUCAGCUUGUUGGUGAGGUAAUGGCUCACCAAGGCGACGACGGGUAGCCGGCCUGAGAGGGUGACCGGCCACACUGGGACUGAGACACGGCCCAGACUCCUACGGGAGGCAGCAGUGGGGAAUAUUGCACAAUGGGCGCAAGCCUGAUGCAGCGACGCCGCGUGAGGGAUGACGGCCUUCGGGUUGUAAACCUCUUUCAGUAGGGAAGAAGCGAAAGUGACGGUACCUGCAGAAGAAGCGCCGGCUAACUACGUGCCAGCAGCCGCGGUAAUACGUAGGGCGCAAGCGUUAUCCGGAAUUAUUGGGCGUAAAGAGCUCGUAGGCGGUUUGUCGCGUCUGCCGUGAAAGUCCGGGGCUCAACUCCGGAUCUGCGGUGGGUACGGGCAGACUAGAGUGAUGUAGGGGAGACUGGAAUUCCUGGUGUAGCGGUGAAAUGCGCAGAUAUCAGGAGGAACACCGAUGGCGAAGGCAGGUCUCUGGGCAUUAACUGACGCUGAGGAGCGAAAGCAUGGGGAGCGAACAGGAUUAGAUACCCUGGUAGUCCAUGCCGUAAACGUUGGGCACUAGGUGUGGGGGACAUUCCACGUUUUCCGCGCCGUAGCUAACGCAUUAAGUGCCCCGCCUGUAGACGCCGCCUGGCG